Molecule: non-coding RNA, 127 nt
Organism: Triticum urartu
Lineage: Eukaryota; Viridiplantae; Streptophyta; Magnoliopsida; Poales; Poaceae
Source: Rfam
CAUAUACUUUCUUCGUUCGAAAAAACUUGUGCCAAGCUUUUUCCUUAAAAUGGAUGUCUCUAGCACUAAGUUGGUGCUAGAUACAUCCAUUUGAGGGACAAGCUUUUUCAGACGGAGGGAGUAAUAG